UGGCGGACGGGUGAGUAACGCGUGGGCAACCUGCCCCAUACAGGGGGAUAACAGCCGGAAACGGCUGCUAAAACCGCAUAAGCGCACAAGGGCCGCAUGGCCUGGUGUGAAAAACUCCGGUGGUAUGGGAUGGGCCCGCGUCUGAUUAGCUAGUUGGCGGGGGAGAGGCCCACCAAGGCGACGAUCAGUAGCCGGCCUGAGAGGGUGAACGGCCACAUUGGGACUGAGACACGGCCCAAACUCCUACGGAAGGCAGCAG
Molecule: ribosomal RNA, 259 nt
Filed under: uncultured bacterium
Lineage: Bacteria
Description: partial 16S ribosomal RNA
Rfam family: Bacterial small subunit ribosomal RNA
Source: RNAcentral